Molecule: ribosomal RNA, 577 nt
Filed under: uncultured bacterium
Lineage: Bacteria
Description: bacterial SSU rRNA
Rfam family: Bacterial small subunit ribosomal RNA
Source: RNAcentral
CCUACGGGAGGCAGCAGUAAGGAAUAUUGGUCAAUGGACGCAAGUCUGAGCCAGCCAUGCCGCGUGCAGGAUGAAGGCCCUCUGGGUUGUAAACUGCUUUUAUAGGGGACGAAAAAGGGACUUUCUAGUUCAACUGACGGUACCCUAGGAAUAAGCACCGGCUAACUCCGUGCCAGCAGCCGCGGUAAUACGGAGGGUGCAAGCGUUAUCCGGAUUUACUGGGUUUAAAGGGUGCGUAGGUGGGUUGGUAAGUCAGCGGUGAAAUCUUCAAGCUUAACUUGGAAACUGCCAUUGAUACUAUCAAUCUUGAAUCAUCUGGAGGUAAGCGGAAUAUGUCAUGUAGCGGUGAAAUGCUUAGAUAUGACAUAGAACACCAAUUGCGAAGGCAGCUUACUACGGAUGUAUUGACACUGAGGCACGAAAGCGUGGGGAUCAAACAGGAUUAGAUACCCUGGUAGUCCACGCCCUAAACGAUGGAUACUCGACAUACGUGAUAUACUAUGUGUGUCUGAGCGAAAGCAUUAAGUAUCCCACCUGGAAGUACGAUCGCAAGAUUGAAACUUCAAAUGAAUUGAGG